This 492-nucleotide ribosomal RNA is filed under the name uncultured bacterium. RNAcentral describes it as "partial 16S ribosomal RNA". It matches the Rfam family "Bacterial small subunit ribosomal RNA", at positions 30 to 507 of the family's 1533-position model. The record is from RNAcentral.
AUUGAACGCUGGCGGCAUGCUUUACACAUGCAAGUCGAACGGUAACAGGCCUUCGGGUGCUGACGAGUGGCGAACGGGUGAGUAAUGCAUCGGAACGUGCCCAGAGGUGGGGGAUAACGCAGCGAAAGCUGUGCUAAUACCGCAUGUGAUCUGAGGAUGAAAGCGGGGGACCAGGAGGCAUUGUUUGGCCUCGCGCCUUUGGAGCGGCCGAUGUCAGAUUAGGUAGUUGGUGGGGUAAAGGCCUACCAAGCCGACGAUCUGUAGCUGGUCUGAGAGGACGACCAGCCACACUGGGACUGAGACACGGCCCAGACUCCUACGGGAGGCAGCAGUGGGGAAUUUUGGACAAUGGGCGCAAGCCUGAUCCAGCAAUGCCGCGUGCGGGAAGAAGGCCUUCGGGUUGUAAACCGCUUUUGUACGGAACGAAAAGGCUCUGGCUAAUACCUGGGGCUGAUGACGGUACCGUAAGAAUAAGCACCGGCUAACUACGUG